RNAcentral lists this ribosomal RNA (305 nucleotides) under uncultured bacterium. RNAcentral describes it as "partial 16S ribosomal RNA". It matches the Rfam family "Bacterial small subunit ribosomal RNA", at positions 508 to 808 of the family's 1533-position model. The record is from RNAcentral.
ACAGCAGCCGCCGCGGUAAUACGGGGGGGGCAAGUGUUAUUCGGAAUGACUGGGCGUAAAGGGCACGUAGGCGGUGAAAAGGGUGGAAAGUGAAAGUCGCCAAAACACUGGCGGGGUGCUUUCUUGACCAUUUCACUUGAGUGAGAUAGGGGAGAGUGGAAUUUCGUGUGGAGGGAUCAAAUCCUAAGAUAUACGAAGGAACGCCAACCGCGAAGGCAGCUCUCUGGGUCCCCACUGACGCUGGGGUGCGAAAGCAUGGGGAGCAAACAGGAUCAGAUACCCGUGUAGUCCCUGUCUCUUAUACA